This 440-nucleotide ribosomal RNA is filed under the name uncultured bacterium. RNAcentral's name for it is "partial 16S ribosomal RNA". It matches the Rfam family "Bacterial small subunit ribosomal RNA", at positions 338 to 795 of the family's 1533-position model. The record is from RNAcentral.
CCUACGGGUGGCAGCAGUAGGGAAUAUUGCUCAAUGGGGGAAACCCUGAAGCAGCAACGCCGCGUGGAGGGUGAAGGUUUUCGGAUUGUAAACUCCUUUUGUUAGAGAAGAUAAUGACGGUAUCUAACGAAUAAGCACCGGCUAACUCCGUGCCAGCAGCCGCGGUAAUACGGAGGGUGCAAGCGUUACCCGGAAUCACUGGGCGUAAAGAGCGCGUAGGCGGGAUAGCAAGUCAGAAGUGAAAGCCCAGGGCUUAACCCCAGGACUGCUUUUGAAACUGUAUGUCUAGAGUACAGGAGGGGUAGGCGGAAUUCUUGGUGUAGCGGUGAAAUGCGUAGAUAUUAGGAGGAACACCGGUGGCGAAGGCGACCUGCUGGACUGUGACUGACGUUGAGGCGCGAAGGCGUGGGGAGCAAACAGGAUUAGAUACCCGGGUAGUC